RNAcentral lists this ribosomal RNA (497 nucleotides) under uncultured bacterium. RNAcentral describes it as "partial 16S ribosomal RNA". It matches the Rfam family "Bacterial small subunit ribosomal RNA", at positions 28 to 507 of the family's 1533-position model. The record is from RNAcentral.
GAUGAACGCUGGCGGCGUGCCUAAUACAUGCAAGUCGAGCGAACAGACGAGGAGCUUGCUCCUCUGACGUUAGCGGCGGACGGGUGAGUAACACGUGGAUAACCUACCUAUAAGACUGGGAUAACUUCGGGAAACCGGAGCUAAUACCGGAUAAUAUAUUGAACCGCAUGGUUCAAUAGUUAAAGACGGUUUUGCUGUCACUUAUAGAUGGAUCCGCGCCGCAUUAGCUAGUUGGUAAGGUAACGGCUUACCAAGGCGACGAUGCGUAGCCGGCCUGAGAGGCUGAUAGGCCACACUGGAACUGAGCCACGGUCCAGACUCCUACGGGAGGCAGCAGUAGGGAAUCUUCCGCAAAGGGCGAAAGCCUGACGGAGCAACGCCGCGUGAGUGAUGAAGGUCUUCGGAUCGUAAAACUCUGUUAUUAGGGAAGAACAAAUGUGUAAGUAACUAUGCACGUCUUGACGGUACCUAAUCAGAAAGCCACGGCUAACUACGUG